RNAcentral lists this ribozyme (113 nucleotides) under Aedes aegypti (yellow fever mosquito). Its description in RNAcentral is "drz-agam-1 ribozyme". It matches the Rfam family "drz-agam-1 ribozyme". Lineage: Eukaryota; Metazoa; Arthropoda; Insecta; Diptera; Culicidae. The record is from Rfam by way of RNAcentral.
UGUUCAGCAACUCCUAUCCCUACUACCUUGCGGUACUGGCUGGCGUACGACCUUAGGGAAGAUCGGGUAACCAACCCCCGGUGUGAACUUUGGUCGUAUGCUGACAGGGAAAG